UCGGCUGCCAAAGGUCGCGAUGCACGCGAUUCGGGCGUGUAAUGCGUUGUUUUGCGGCGAUUGACUCCUAUUGAGCGGCGGGCAGGAGCCGGCGAAGGUCGCCCCCCUCCAACGCCCUCCUCCUCGGCCGGCUCCGCGGCCGUGCGGAGAGGCCCCGUGACGUACACCCGUGUUACUAUGCAGACUUCGGCCGCUGAUAGUCGCCAUGUCACUUGUGCAACAUCACUGCAGCUUCGGCGGAGGAGACUCUUGGAAUAAACCGCUGCCACGUCGUCCGCUGCCCUGGGAUAAAGCAGCAGGGUGUAAAUUGGACGCGUAUAAGUCGCAGUUUCGGCGGCGGUGUGGCAUGGACCGUUGUGCUGUACAGGCUGCAGUCAUUCGACGCGCAGGUCGGAUUCAGUGUCGAUGACUCCAUCCAUCUGAGUGUCGCAUAUUUUGCAAGGAACGUGGCAGUUCUGGGUGUGGAAUAAGGCGGAAAGGUAAGCAGACAUUUCUUUGGCUGCUGGUUUGUCCUGACUGCAAGAAGAAACGACGUAGCCGCUGCUCUUAUGUAGGGCAGAGAGCGCCACCCGGCAAGAUUGCAUUCCGGACCUCCUUACUCCCGCUGGCUUGUGGCACAUUUAUAGCCCGCUGGCGGGCCGGCGCAACCUCUGCAUCCUCUGCCGGAAUGGAUGUCCGCCGCUGUAAUGAGAACGGCCGUCGCGUCAGCUGGCUUUUUCAGCCACGACUCACACAUCGCGCAGCGGUCGCGGUAACAUCAUUCCUUCCACUGAAUUCACGAUGGAAGAAUGAGUCUACAUUUGAUUUUACGUUCAUUUGGGAAGAUAGUGAU
This is an RNA transcript of Schistocerca nitens (vagrant locust), 832 nucleotides long. RefSeq lists it as uncharacterized. The transcript is spliced from 4 exons. NCBI's taxonomy places the organism in Eukaryota, Metazoa, Arthropoda, Insecta, Orthoptera, Acrididae. The record is from RefSeq and is a predicted model, not a curated record.